This 75-nucleotide transfer RNA is filed under the name Sphaerodactylus townsendi. Its description in RNAcentral is "tRNA-Ala". Lineage: Eukaryota; Metazoa; Chordata; Lepidosauria; Squamata; Sphaerodactylidae. The record is from RNAcentral.
GGAGAAGCUGUGGGUUAGUGGAAGAGUCUCUGCUUUGCAUACAGAAGGUCCCCAGUUCAAUUCCUGGCUUCUCCA